GACAGAGGGGGCAAGCGUUGCUCGGAAUUACUGGGCGUAAAGGGCGCGUAGGCGGGAUGGCAAGUCGGUCGUGAAAUCCCUCGGCUCAACUGAGGAUCGUCGAUCGAUACUGCCGUUCUUGAGGAUUGCAGAGGAGACUGGAAUUCCCGGUGUAGCGGUGAAAUGUGUAGAGAUUUGGAGGAACACCGGUGGCGAAGGCGACUUUCUGGUCUGUAACUGACACUGAGGCGCGAAAGCGUGGGGAGCAAACAGG
Molecule: ribosomal RNA, 253 nt
Filed under: uncultured bacterium
Lineage: Bacteria
Description: partial 16S ribosomal RNA
Rfam family: Bacterial small subunit ribosomal RNA
Source: RNAcentral